Molecule: unclassified non-coding RNA, 336 nt
Filed under: soil metagenome
Description: partial contains 5.8S ribosomal RNA, internal transcribed spacer 2, and large subunit ribosomal RNA
Rfam family: 5.8S ribosomal RNA (bases 1-120)
Source: RNAcentral
GAUGAAGAACGUAGUGAAAUGCGAUAAGUAAUGUGAAUUGCAGAAUUCAGUGAAUCAUCGAAUCUUUGAACGCGCAUUGCGCCCAUUAGUAUUCUAGUGGGCAUGCCUGUUCGAGCGUCAUUUCAACCCUUAAGCCUAGCUUAGUGUUGGGAAUCUGCUGUAUUGCAGUUCCUCAAAUACAACGGCGGAUCUGUAACAUCCUCUGAGCGUAGUAAAUUUUUAUCUCGCUUUUGUUAGGUGUUGCAGCUCUCAGCCGCUAAACCCCCCAAUUUUUGUGGUUGACCUCGGAUCAGGUAGGAAUACCCGCUGAACUUAAGCAUAUCAAUAAGCGGAGGA